RNAcentral lists this ribosomal RNA (476 nucleotides) under uncultured bacterium. RNAcentral describes it as "bacterial SSU rRNA". It matches the Rfam family "Bacterial small subunit ribosomal RNA", at positions 335 to 803 of the family's 1533-position model. The record is from RNAcentral.
ACUCCUACGGGAGGCAGCAGUGGGGAAUAUUGGACAAUGGGGGAACCCGUGAUCCAGCCAUGCCGCGUGUGUGAAGAAGGCCUUAUGGUUGUAAAGCACUUUAAAGCGAGGAGGAGGCUACUGAGACUAAUACUCUUGGAUAGUGGACGUUACUCGCAGAAUAAGCACCGGCUAACUCUGUGCCAGCAGCCGCGGUAAUACAGAGGGUGCGAGCGUUAAUCGGAUUUACUGGGCGUAAAGCGUGCGUAGGCGGUCUUUUAAGUCGGAUGUGAAAUCCCCGAGCUUAACUUGGGAAUUGCAUUCGAUACUGGGGAAGCUAGAGUAUGGGAGAGGAUGGUAGAAUUCCAGGUGUAGCGGUGAAAUGCGUAGAGAUCUGGAGGAAUACCGAUGGCGAAGGCAGCCAUCUGGCCUAAUACUGACGCUGAGGUACGAAAGCAUGGGAGCAAACAGGAUUAGAUACCCCUGGUAGCGACUGA